CUGUCGUCUGUCACAUCUGUUUUAUUGACAAAGCAGGAUUUUGUCUUCAGGUGCUUUUGCAGUGCCGCCUUAUGCCUGAACUGUUUUGUACCGAGAGGACAAAAUGGGCCUAUAAGGUAUUUUAAGGUGGUGCACCAUAUGAGAGAGCGACAGAGUCUCUUACACUCCCACAACGAUGGAAUCGGCGAUCCUCUGACAUCAUUCUGGAGGCUUUCGUUCAAGAGGCUAGUACGGAGGGGGCGAUAGCCGUUGGCGUAUACGGACUGAUCUCCAUCACCAGACCUGGUGUUAUUGGAAUCGUACUUUGUACUCCGCAGCGGCUUUCAACGGAAUCCUACCUAAGGCAAGAAGAUUCAAGAACAUCCGAGCUAUCGGAUUUGAUGAGCCCAUCGACCACCUGCGCAUACUCCGCUGUUAUCCGAACUGAAACCAGGCCCUACAGUUGAACUUACUUGAGUUCUUGCCGGUACGGCCUUCCCUAUUUUGUUCUCUUGAGUUCGUGCAACGACCUUCUUGGCAUGCGCCGAACCGACAUGCACCUUCUGCUGCCUUCUAGUAGUUUUGCUAGGUACUUUUGAUGGCGGCAGAACUUUGUUGGACGAAGCACUGGACAGAUGUUUUCUCUGUUGCGAUUGUUGACGCUCGCAUGCUCUUUCGGGUGAUCGUUCAUUCGCUUCAUCAUGAGCAAUAGAUGGUGGCGUGAGCCGCCUAUUCCGUAAACUCGGUUGGCAUAGAAAUCGCAGGGUGGGCUGCGAGUGGUUCAGACCAACGGGCGAUUUUCGUCGCUCAGGAUAAUUCGUCAGUUUUUCGACAUGCUUGAAUCCUGACGCCCGGAACUGAGAAUGCUGAGGUUGCCCAGGAGGUGGAGACGUAUCGACGUGGGCCCUUCUGGGCUUGGAAUUAUCACGCAUUCUCUGGUUCUCUUGGAAUGAUGGCCGCUGACGGUCCGAAGGCAGCGCAAGAGGACUACAGAUUCCGGUGGUCAUCUGUGAAUCGUAUAUUCGGUGUCGUGGCGAAGGCCAGCCCAGUUGCGAGAAUUGUGUGUAUCCACCGAAGUUGUAGUCCAGUUCGCUGCGUGGCGGCAUAUCGUCCGCACAACGCGAAGACAUUCGAGACGGUAGAAGUUGCGAGGAACAGCACGACUGCUGCAUGACAUUCGCGGUAGCAUUGUCAGUGUGAGGCUGAGUAGGUGUGCUUGAAUUCAUAUAGUUUGUGCAUUUAUGCAUGCCGUCUCACCUGUUGGAACAGUUCUUCGAACUCGUCAUCCAGCGGAGCACUUUGGUCAUAAUGAAAGUCUGGCUGAUUUUGCAAGUACCAUAACUUCCGACUGAGUUCGUGCAAAUUUCGUGGAUGAGCCAUGUUUGG
Molecule: long non-coding RNA, 1365 nt
Filed under: Toxoplasma gondii VEG
Lineage: Eukaryota; Apicomplexa; Conoidasida; Eucoccidiorida; Sarcocystidae
Source: RNAcentral